Talpa occidentalis (Iberian mole) is the source of this 447-nucleotide long non-coding RNA. RefSeq lists it as uncharacterized. NCBI's taxonomy places the organism in Eukaryota, Metazoa, Chordata, Mammalia, Eulipotyphla, Talpidae. The transcript has 6 exons. The record is from RefSeq and is a predicted model, not a curated record.
UUCAAGCUAUUAUUUCUUCUCUAAAGUGUCCUUAGAGAGGACCAAAAGUUUCCAUUUGUUUGAGAACUUCAUAUAUGCAGUUUCAUGUGCUGAGCACUCUCCCUUCCCUUGAACAGUUUCCUGGGAAUCUGAGCUCUUACGGUGAGGACAUGAGGAGAAGUAACUUGGCUUACUUGUUUGUCCCUCUUCCUGGAAGUUAAAAAAAAAAUAAGAAUGGAUGAAUGGAACAUUACACUGAAAAUACUUCGGCACAGCAAAAGUAAUAAUAGUGUGAAAAGAUGACAUGGAACUUAGGCCAAAAGAUUUCCAGCAUUAUGAAAAACAUCUUUCAUUAAAAUGAUGUUUCCAGUCUUAGAAGACAGGUCUCCAAUAAGUGUCUGAGCCUGCGGACUGGUCAACGAGGUUCUGGAGGGGAGAGCAGCGACCUGAAGAACAGGGGUACACCGG